This is a long non-coding RNA of Manihot esculenta (cassava), 572 nucleotides long. RefSeq lists it as uncharacterized. NCBI's taxonomy places the organism in Eukaryota, Viridiplantae, Streptophyta, Magnoliopsida, Malpighiales, Euphorbiaceae. The transcript has 2 exons. The record is from RefSeq and is a predicted model, not a curated record.
GGAAAUUCUCUUCAGUCUAAAUAUUUGGAAUAUUUUUUCAUUCAAAUUCAAUUAACUUUCUGAUUGUUUCUUUUCUAUUUAUUUGUUUGGUUUUGGAAAUGUUCUUUGUUUACACAAACAUCAUGAAUGUUCUUUUUGUUCUUAAGUUGGCUAUAGAUAACAGUAACAUAAUUAUGAAGGUGUGAGGGAACACAAAAACGGAGAAGGGGACGACCAAAGAAGGCAACAGGACGUCGCACAAAGGGAGCAGUAGGGAUGAGGAGAAACAAAUAUUUCCUGGAUUAGAAAUUCCCAUAGCUGAGCAGUGUGAAGAUGCGUGAGGUGGUUAUGUGCUUUAAUGUCACAAGAACCUGAAUAAUAUGUUCUCCCCUUUUUUACUGUCUUUGGAUGCACUGUCAUUUCUUAUGGUUAUGGAAUCCAAUUUUCUCAGACAGAAUAAAAUAUGGUAUCCUAACCAGGGUGAGCAGUGCACUGCUAGAUUACUCCUCUGCAGUAGAAGUUGAAUAAAAGACAAUAAAUGAGUUUCCCUUGUUUCCUAAUUUAUGGUUUAAUCUAUAUGGAUUUUUCUUCUC